CACUCGCGCAAAACGCCAACGGUUGCGGUUGGGCAGAUAGGAAACUCAACUACGUGUAUUGGGACGUUGUUGCGAAUGCAGAUGAUAUUGCGAACGGAAGUGGGCGAGUUGAAGAGUGUGUUGUUUUCCACCAUAAUGAAGACAAUGAUUCUAAACACAUUCUGAGAAUUGUUAAAGAAUGGAUGAUGCAAUUGGAUCACCUCAUAUUGACCGGAACUCAAUCAAAUCGCGCAUUUAUUGGAUCACGAUCAAACUAGAAAAAGAAAGAUUAGCAGGAAGGACAUUGUUUUGAAUGGCAGAAGAAUGGCAAAUUGCAUUGAACUGCAGAAGAAUGGCAAAAAAUUUUACCGGAAGUAACAGGAAAUCUCAAUUCAAUGCCGCGCCGUUUACAAGCUGUAAUUAGCACACAUAAAUAUGAAGUAUUUUAAGUUUUCUGUUCUUAACUUUUGUUUUUGUAAGAAUUGUGUUUUCUUUUUCCAUAAACUUAAAUAAAACAAACCAGUGUCGUUCACUUUCUUUUGACGCAGACGGAACAUAUGUAUAUACAUAUGUACAUAUUGUAAUGGAUUACUCGAUGAAUUAUCUGCUUUGAAACUUAAAUAAAAUUACAAAUUUAUUGGA
Long non-coding RNA from Bactrocera dorsalis (oriental fruit fly), 621 nucleotides. RefSeq lists it as uncharacterized. The record is from RefSeq and is a predicted model, not a curated record. The transcript has 2 exons. NCBI's taxonomy places the organism in Eukaryota, Metazoa, Arthropoda, Insecta, Diptera, Tephritidae.